AUGGCGUGGAAAAAUUUAACUUUCCAGUCACUGAAAGCUCAUCUCUGGGGUUUGAUCCAACACAAAAAUGGGAGCCAGAUAAAGAGCAGCACUGAGCUAACAGGUUAUGCUUGGUACAUCUAUCAGUGGAAUUUAGCAAGGCUGAAUAGGACAAUGUGUCCUGGGUUGACAAGAGCAACAAUGCACUGAAAAAAGAGAAGGCUUCCCCCAGCAUCCACCCUCACCUCUUGUGGUGGGGUAAGAGAGGAUGUGCUGGUGAGACACAGGAGCAAAGGAGUUUGCUACAAAAGCAGGCUGCUAACCCAGAGAUAAAAAUAGUAUCUGUGCUGUAUGUCGUCUAAAGUGAAACUGUUGAGCACCCCUGCAUCAAGAUGUUUAAUUUUAUCUCAGAUGUACAGUAGUCUGUGCCCUCCAAGACACGUAAAUACACCAUGAAAAUGUAUUUAAUUUUGAUGCCACCAGACAGACUUCUCUCCUAAAGGCUGGGUUCCUGGGCUGUGCUGUAAAGAAAAAGAGAGGAAGAAAGGAGAUUUAAAAACCACUUUUUUUUUUAGGACUGCUCUCCUGUGAAACUUUAAGGGAUUAUAAACCACAUCAGUAGCUACUGAAAUCUUUAGUCAUGAGUAUUUUUUACAGAAAAUGUCAGAAAAGCAUCACAGAAUGUGUUAACUGUAACUUGCUUUUACCGCCUGAUCCUGAGCAUACAUGCAAGUGUUAAAAAAUGAGUAUUUUAAAAGAAAACUUGGCAGCAGAACAUCCAGCAUUUUCAGGAGAAAAUGUGCAUUUCUUUUGAUUUGUAUCAAGUGUCAGCAGGGAGGGAUAAUCAGAAAGUGCCAUUACCACUCAAAAUCAUAUCAUACAUAAUUCUGUUAUAAAUAAUUCUCAGCAGAUAUGACUAAUUUAGCACACUUUGGCAUUACCUGUCGGUGCUGGUGGAUAUGCUUGCAGCUGUAAUUUCAGGUCUUUAAUGUUUAUUAUGUUACUGUCUCUUUUGGUAUUAUUAAAUCUUGCCCGAU
This 1016-nucleotide long non-coding RNA is filed under the name Cyanistes caeruleus (blue tit). Its description in RNAcentral is "lncRNA (ENSCCEG00000008881.1)". The record is from RNAcentral. Lineage: Eukaryota; Metazoa; Chordata; Aves; Passeriformes; Paridae.